RNAcentral lists this non-coding RNA (21 nucleotides) under Caenorhabditis elegans. Lineage: Eukaryota; Metazoa; Nematoda; Chromadorea; Rhabditida; Rhabditidae. The record is from RNAcentral.
UGCACGAUAUUUUUUGCUAUA